Long non-coding RNA from Drosophila miranda, 419 nucleotides. RefSeq lists it as uncharacterized. NCBI's taxonomy places the organism in Eukaryota, Metazoa, Arthropoda, Insecta, Diptera, Drosophilidae. The transcript is spliced from 3 exons. The record is from RefSeq and is a predicted model, not a curated record.
AUGCAAAAAUUGCGCGUUUUUAUUGUUUGAUUUGUUUUGUGUUUAAAGUGUGUUCAAUUCAUUUUUGGAGCCGCCGCGUUCGAUCAGUGUAGUGUAAAAGCAAGAAAGUUUAAGUUAAUAUCAGUUCUCUGUGCGUUUUUCGGUUUUUGUUGUUUGCGGGUGUUCUGUGAAAGUGUUUUUUUUUUUUGCGUGUUCUGUGGCAGUGUGUGUGUGUGAGUUUCGUCUUCAAAUUGCACUUCAAUAGUGAAAAAUUGUCUCAAAUUGGCGCAAGCAAUUCAAUUGUUGCUGAAGCAAUAAACUUUGCCGUCUGAAGGGAGUGCAGGCGCAUAACAUGUACCGUUGAUUUUAUCCAACACUGAAUAAUGGAUCAAACGAUUGAAGGCUGGUUUAUUCUGACGAAAUCUAGUGGAAAUCCUUCG